RNAcentral lists this long non-coding RNA (1128 nucleotides) under Bemisia tabaci. RNAcentral describes it as "lncRNA ENSSSA1NGG001634". Lineage: Eukaryota; Metazoa; Arthropoda; Insecta; Hemiptera; Aleyrodidae. The record is from RNAcentral.
GACGAUUCCAGUCGCCGUUUUCGCCUCACCGCCUCACCGUCGUCGACUCGUAUCUUCUCGACCGCGUGUCAAGUGUUUGGAUUACGCUCCAGCGUUGUGUUCCUUUUGUUCUCAAUCGUUCCCCUUUUUUCCCUUCUCUUUAUCGCGCAAUUCAACCUAAUUGUGAUUUAGUCUCAUUUGCGUUAUAACUCCGAUUUUAAGGCUCGGUUGUAUCGUGUUAACCACGUGUGUCAAACGUGUGUACGUGAAUGGAUGUGUGCAAAUCCCUAAAAUACGAUUUUGGAACUCACGUGGUUUCAGAAAUUGAACUCUGGCGAAGUGUAUUGAUGCAAUAAUUCUACGAGUUUUUAGUUCAGUUGUAGUGUACAUAUAACUCGCGUGUGCCGUGAUAGUCACUGUCAGUGAUGAAUUUAUCAAAUGCAAUUAAUCUAAGCAAGCCGCUGAGAUCUAGUCUCAAAAUGUGCUCCCUUUCUACAGUUCUGCUAGAUUGGAUGAUGUUCGUGCGGAUUUAAUGAAAUCAAGACUCGACGUUUUCUACGCGGAGAAAUGCGUAGGCGCGCGUAGUGGAUCCUUGCGGGUGGAAACCGCAAGGUGAAACUUGUUGCCGUGAAUGGUUUUUCAAAAUUUUCGCCGUGGAUUUGGGUGGCGUUUGAUGAAAUGUUGGCCGCGUCCCGUGUCGGCGGAAGUGCCCAAGAAAGCACGGAUCACCUGUUCCUGUUGCCCGAGAGAGUCCUUAACAUGGACAGCGCCUCCUUGCGCCAGGACUUGGCCGGCCUCGAUUUCAGCGUUCAUCUUCUGCACGAUGGUCCACAAGGCAACGUUUGGUUCACGCAGAUGACAUUUCAUAUUUGGAGCAAGCUGUUGAAAUUCGUACAGUAGCAGUUUAAAUUAGCCAAUCGUGAACUGCCAGAGCGCCAGUCAACGUUUUAUAGAUGUGAGUGAGAGGAGGCACGCAGGCAGACUCAAUUAUUUCGUCAAACUGAAAUACCCUUCAUCGUGUAUUUGGACCGGAGUCAUACGCUUCGUGGAAAAAAAAAAUCUGCUCCGCCCCCCCCCUUCAGCACCAAAAUGGAGGUUUUCGGGGGUUUAUCUGCGGAGCGUGUGUGAAAUCUAUCUUUCUAUGAAAAU